Molecule: long non-coding RNA, 337 nt
Organism: Schistocerca gregaria
Lineage: Eukaryota; Metazoa; Arthropoda; Insecta; Orthoptera; Acrididae
Exons: 2
Source: RefSeq, a predicted model, not a curated record
AGUCACAUCGCUGUCACCGCCUCUGACAAUCGACGUCACCAUGAAGGCUUUCGUCUGCUCUCUCCUCGUUGUCCUGCUGGUGGCGGCCGUGUUGGCCCAGGAGAAGGCCAAGGAGACCCUGAAGGGCGCCGAGGCCUACUACGCCUACGCCGCCCCCUACGCCUACAGCGCCUUCGGCUACCCCGCCGUCAGCGCCUACUCCGCCUUCCCCUACCCAUACUUCUACCGCUGAGUGUGGACGUGUGGGACUAUGUUGGAACGCCGCUCCACAAACACCUAGUUCGUUUCCGUCUUCUUCUCCGUUGUCUUUUUCCAAUAAAAUUUGAUAUAAAAUAAA